GGUUGCGAGUAUAAUAUAUCAAUCCUUCACCGCAUUAGAAAACCAAAUUUUCUAUUUAAUUUAGCGUGUUCUUUUAAUGAACGCAGCGUCAGCGACAACAAAGAAGAAAAACAGAUCUGCGGCGAGAAAAAAUACAUUGAUUAGAGAAGAACUGCCGCAAAAGAUGUACGAUGAUGAAGAUUGACGUGACGCUGCUUAAUUUCAGCGAUUCAUUUGAUGCAAUUGCAAUUCAUCGGCUAUCAUCGGCGACUCAUCCGAAAUUGUUAUUUUCAAGCUUUAAUGUCGUUUUACUUACCUACUACUUCUCAUGACACGUCGUUUCAGUCCGCUAUUGCCGCUGGCGCAGCAUCAAAUAAAAGAACACGCUAGGAUAGCUUGAAAAGGGUACAAUAACUAGUUAUAGAAGAACAUGAGCCAUAACAUUUGGAAACAAAAUGAGUUAGUUUGAAUUUGAAACAUCGCGCUCUAUGUAAAAAAAGCAAAAAAGAAAAGAAAAGAGUCCUAAUAAUUAAAAAGAGAAAAUAAAA
RNAcentral lists this small RNA (527 nucleotides) under Arabidopsis thaliana (thale cress). RNAcentral describes it as "ATSL127540". The record is from RNAcentral. Lineage: Eukaryota; Viridiplantae; Streptophyta; Magnoliopsida; Brassicales; Brassicaceae.